This 711-nucleotide long non-coding RNA is filed under the name Capsicum annuum. Its description in RNAcentral is "long non-coding RNA (CANN_LNC014596)". Lineage: Eukaryota; Viridiplantae; Streptophyta; Magnoliopsida; Solanales; Solanaceae. The record is from RNAcentral.
UCUGCGUGAAAAUAACAAAAUUCAUCCCUAUAUAUAGGGAAAAAAAUCUAUCCCAAAUAGCAUGAGAUUCGAAUUUUACUUUUAUGAAAAUAAAUAAAUUUAGAAAACUUUAAAUUAGGAAACUUUAAAACUAGGAAACUUUAAACUAGGAAAAUUUAAACUAGAAAAUUUUUAAACUAGGAAAGUAAUAUAAAAAAUAAAUCCCUAAUUAAAUAAGGAAAAGUUUCUAAAUUUAAUCAAAACUCAUAUUGCCCAAUUUUCUUCCGUUUGGACUUGAACAUGAAUCAUGAAAUAUGUAUAACACUUUAACCCAUGCUUUUCCAUAAUAUUUGGGCUUGUUCUUGAAUUUUUCUUCCAUCAUAAGUAUCUUCUUGAUUCACAUUGAAGCCCAUCAAUUUUAAUACACGUGGGUUAGACUUGAUGCUAUCAAAUUGUGCCAUUAUUCUCUCAAUCCGAUUCAGGAUAUUUAAUGGAGGGUUCAUUACCGACAGCCAAUGGAUAGGAACACUUUUGUAGCACAUGCUUGAUUAAAAUUGUUCUACCCCCAUAGGAUAACAGUUUUCCUUUCCACGCCUGAAGUUUUGAGCUAAUCCUUUGUAGCAGCGGGUGAUUAUACUUCUUUUGCUUCCAUUUAUAAAACUAGAGGUGAAGGGGGUUCAAAGCAUAUUAUUUCAUCAGGUAUUUUAUUUGUACAUCGCUACUUAACAUAUG